RNAcentral lists this transfer RNA (75 nucleotides) under Candidatus Portnoybacteria bacterium CG03_land_8_20_14_0_80_41_10. Its description in RNAcentral is "tRNA-Thr". It matches the Rfam family "tRNA". Rfam says of the family: Transfer RNA (tRNA) molecules are approximately 80 nucleotides in length. Lineage: Bacteria; Candidatus Portnoyibacteriota. The record is from RNAcentral.
GCCAGCGUAGCUCAGGGGUAGAGCAACGGUUUUGUAAACCGUCGGUCGGGGGUCCGAAUCCCUUCGCUGGCUCAA